This 552-nucleotide ribosomal RNA is filed under the name uncultured Sebacinales. Its description in RNAcentral is "eukaryotic LSU rRNA". It matches the Rfam family "Eukaryotic large subunit ribosomal RNA", at positions 77 to 606 of the family's 3401-position model. Lineage: Eukaryota; Fungi; Basidiomycota; Agaricomycetes; Sebacinales. The record is from RNAcentral.
CCCCUAGUAACGGCGAGUGAAGAGGGAAAAGCUCAAAUUUUGAAUCUGAUGACUUUGGCGUCCGAGUUGUAAUCUAGAGAAGUGUUUUCUGCCUUGGACCACACAUAAAUUCCCUGGAAUGGGGUGUCAUAGAGGGUGAGAAUCCCGUUUGUGGUGUGGACUACCUUGGCUAUGURAUACACUCUCAACGAGUCGAGUUGUUUGGGAAUGCAGCUCAAAAUGGGUGGUAAAUUCCAUCUAAAGCUAAAUACUGGCGAGAGACCGAUAGCGAACAAGUUCCGUGAGGGAAAGAUGAAAAGCACUUUGGAAAGAGAGUGAAACAGUACGUGAAAUUGUUGAAAGGGAAGCUUUUGAAGUCAGUCACAUUGGUCRGAAUUCAGCCUGGCUUCUGCCUGGUGCACUUUCUGGCAAAUGGGUCAGCAUCAAUUUCGAUUGAGGGAGAAAGACUUGAGGAAUGUGGCUGUCUUCGGACAGUGUUAUAGCCUCUUGUUGUAUGUCUCAAUUGGGAUUGAGGAACGCAGCACGCCUUAUGGCCGGGGUUCCCCCUCAGAC